CCUACAUCACCGUUUCAUACGUUUCAAACAAAUCCCGACUGGGACACAUAUGGAACGCACAAGCUGUAUCCAAAAUCUAUUCCUUGUCAAAUUUGGAUUCUAUGUCAGAAAUCAUCAAAACAUCUCUAUCACUCAAAUAAUUCUUGGCUAUGUUGGAUUCGUCUGAAGUAUUUGAUUACUUUCCAGAAUUUGCAGUUAAAUUACCUUUGUUCUACAAUUUGUUGCAAUAUCUUUUAAUGUGUCCUUUAUUCUUCCAAAAAUAACAAACCCGAUUACUGAAAUCUGACAUUAAGUUAUCCCUUCUCCGAUCGCCAUGAACAACAAGGCUUCUCCAUCUCUAACCUAAGAUAUAACCAGAUACUGCAUCUUCUCUUUUGAAAACAAGGCCUCAUACGCAUCUUUAAUGGUGAGAGUAUCACGACUAUAGUGUCUCUAAAUGAAGUAAAUGAAAUGGGUAGCAAACAUAACAGGAUUAAAGCCAAAUCUUCUUCAUCAUACUUUAACUCUAACGUCUUCAAAUUAGCAACAAUCUCUUUAAACACAACUAGAUGAUCUUCCAAUGAUCCACCUCUUUCAUGUGAUGAGAAUACAAUCUCUGCUUCAGACGCAGUUUGCUUGUCAUACUUUUAUUCAUGCACAAUUGCUCUACCUUCAACCAUUAAGUACCUGUCAUUUUCUCCUUUAAAAUGUCGUAAAGAUUAUUGUUAGAGUGAUGAAGAUAGAUCUAUAAAAGUGCAUUCCAUCCUUUUGUUGUUUCUCUUCCGUCAUCCAAUUUGUGAACAUUUUGUCAAAUCCCAACAACUCAUCAUCCAAAUCCAUCUGUGCGAGUACAGCUCGUAUCUUCACUUGCCAUAACGAGAAUAUUGUAUUGCGACCCAAGAACGAAAUUUCAUACCUUAUGGUUGCAUCAAUAAUAAAAAUCUCGAACAAAUUACAAUCAAUAUCUCUGAUACCAUUUGUUGAAAAAUAAAACGGAUGGAGG
This 982-nucleotide long non-coding RNA is filed under the name Olea europaea subsp. europaea. Lineage: Eukaryota; Viridiplantae; Streptophyta; Magnoliopsida; Lamiales; Oleaceae. The record is from RNAcentral.